This 494-nucleotide ribosomal RNA is filed under the name uncultured bacterium. RNAcentral describes it as "partial 16S ribosomal RNA". It matches the Rfam family "Bacterial small subunit ribosomal RNA", at positions 28 to 523 of the family's 1533-position model. The record is from RNAcentral.
GACGAACGCUGGCGGCGUGCUUAACACAUGCAAGUCGAGCGAUGAAAGCCUUAUGAACUAUUCGUAGUGAUUGAGGCCGGAUUAGCGGCGGACGGGUGAGUAACGCGUGAGCAACCUGCCUUAAACAACGGGAUAGCCUCGGGAAACCGGGAUUAAUACCGUAUGAGACCCCGCCUUCACAUGACGAAGAGGUUAAAGAUUUAUCGGUUUAAGAUGGGCUCGCGUCUGAUUAGCGAGUUGGUGAGAUAAAAGCCCACCAAGGCAACGAUCAGUAACCGGCUUGAGAGAGUGAACGGUCACAUUGGAACUGAGACACGGUCCAAACUCCUACGGGAGGCAGCAGUGGGGAAUAUUGCACAAUGGGGGAAACCCUGAUGCAGCGACGCCGCGUGAGCGAUGAAGGAAUUCGUUUCGUAAAGCUCUGUCCAAGGGGAAGAUAAUGACAGUACCCUUGGAGGAAGCCCCGGCUAAAUACGUGCCAGCCGCCGCGGUAA